This 481-nucleotide ribosomal RNA is filed under the name uncultured bacterium. RNAcentral's name for it is "partial 16S ribosomal RNA". It matches the Rfam family "Bacterial small subunit ribosomal RNA", at positions 29 to 506 of the family's 1533-position model. The record is from RNAcentral.
AUUGAACGCUGGCGGCAUGCUUUACACAUGCAAGUCGAACGGUAACAGGCCGCAAGGUGCUGACGAGUGGCGAACGGGUGAGUAAUGCAUCGGAACGUGCCCAGUCGUGGGGGCUAACGCAGCGAAAGCUGUGCUAAUACCGCAUACGAUCUAUGGAUGAAAGCGGGGGACCGAAAGGCCUCGCGCGAUUGGAGCGGCCGAUGUCAGAUUAGGUAGUUGGUGGGGUAAAGGCCUACCAAGCCAACGAUCUGUAGCUGGUCUGAGAGGACGACCAGCCACAGUGGGGGUGAACAGCGGCCCAGGCCCCGAGGGGAGGCAGAGGUGGGGAAUUUUGGAAAAAGGGCGGAAGCUUGACCAAGCAAUGCCGGGGGGAGGAAGAAGGCUUUCGGGUUGGAAACUGCUUUUUGAGGGAACAAAACGGUUUGAAUUAAACCCCGGGAAUAAGGCGGGAACCGUAAAAAAAAGCCCGGGUAAACACGGU